GUUCGACUUCUACGGUCGGAGCCGCGGCGUUCUCUCCUCGUCUGGUUUUGAGCAUGUGCUGAUGGGAGAGGUCAAGAAUGGGCAGGUGAGUGGCUUCCACAACUGGGUGUACUUCUAUUUCCUGGAGCGCAAGAACGAGGUCAACUACCUGGGCUACAAGAAGUACCUGCAGCUGGGACGCGGGGACGCGAUGGUCAUCAAGUUCUCAUUCAA
Pollicipes pollicipes is the source of this 213-nucleotide long non-coding RNA. RefSeq lists it as uncharacterized. The record is from RefSeq and is a predicted model, not a curated record. The transcript is spliced from 3 exons. Lineage: Eukaryota; Metazoa; Arthropoda; Thecostraca; Pollicipedomorpha; Pollicipedidae.